CGCGUAGGCGGUUCGUUAAGUUGCUGGUGAAAUCCCGGGGCUCAACUCCGGGGCUGCCGGCAAGACUGGCGGGCUCGAGCACGGUAGAGGCGGAUGGAAUUCCCGGUGUAGCGGUGGAAUGCGUAGAUAUCGGGAAGAAUACCGGUGGCGAAGGCGUUCCGCUGGGCCGUUGCUGACGCUGAGGCGCGACAGCGUGGGGAGCAAACA
RNAcentral lists this ribosomal RNA (207 nucleotides) under uncultured bacterium. RNAcentral's name for it is "partial 16S ribosomal RNA". It matches the Rfam family "Bacterial small subunit ribosomal RNA", at positions 568 to 774 of the family's 1533-position model. The record is from RNAcentral.